Long non-coding RNA from Equus caballus (horse), 2031 nucleotides. Lineage: Eukaryota; Metazoa; Chordata; Mammalia; Perissodactyla; Equidae. The record is from Ensembl.
GCAGUCUAGGAGACUCAGAUCCUCAGGGUUGCAAACGUAUGGAAACCUUCUGGCUCACUUGAGACUGCCCUUACUAGGGAAGAAGCUCCUGAGAGUCAUCAGAAGUACAGCUGAAAAGCCAAUAUCAGCACCAAUGGGAUGCACCUCUAGGCUCUGCAGCUGACAAACUCUCAAGUGGAAUGGCCUUCUGAAUCUUCAAUACCGUGAUGCCAUGCCAGCCUACCUGUGCUCUGAAAUUUAUAUGACCCAGCCUCAGGAAACUCAAUUAUCUUGAUGGGAAGCCACAUCGACCCAGCUCCAUAUCAUUAUGAAAACUGAUUUUUGCAAGACAAAAAAAAAAUAUCCAAGAAUAAAGCACAUAUAGACAGAAAUCUGGAAUAAGUUCCUGAUUAAUUUAUAAUUAUUAAAAGUGAACAUCUCAGCUGAUAUGGAGAUAAUUGAGGUUUGUCUGUAAUGAUUCAGCUGGUCCAAUUUUGGAAUCUAUUUAUCAUACACCAUGUGUUAGAGAUCAACAGCCAAAUCCAGGUUGGGCUUUAGCAAUCCCAGUCUGGUUCCCUUCUUUAUUUCUCCACUAACAUGUGGUGAGGAGCAUGCUUCCACUUCUCUCUUUAUGUUUUUUAGUUUUGGCUCCUGAUCUAUAGUGGGCGACUGUGAAGACGAGAACACACAUGUACUACAAGGAACUUCUGCAUGCACACGAAGUCCUCCGACUUCUAGAAUAUGAAAAUCCCCCACCUCCGUCAGCUUGCAAUAAGCUAGAAAUGAAGAGAACUGUAGCCUCCCAAGCACAACUGUAAAAUUCUAAUUAAAAAAUUGAUUGAUGAAGAAACAAAGAUAGUGUCAUUUAACACUGGCCAGCUGUUUGCCAAACCCAUUUACUUUUCCUCCUGGGCAUGUGGUUAAAGGACGUUUUCCAGUCUGCAAUAAACUGAUGUCUUGACAGUCUUUUAACCAGUGGAAUCUGAGUGGAAAUGACGUAUACUACCUCAAUGCCUGGCAAUAAACAUUUUUGGUGCCUCAAUCUCCAUGAUUUUUCCCUUGCAUAGCUUGAUGCAGAUGUACAUAGUCACUUGGAAGCCACAUGUUGAUGACAGAGCCAUAAGACCAAAGGAUCCUGGGUCCUUGAAUCACUACUUGCAGAAGAACUGGCGAGUGCUUAAGAACACCUCUUUUAGACUUUAUAUGCCCAUCCUGCCAAAUCCAAGACCUUUCCAGGCCAGCUGAGAGUUGAGCAUUGCUGAACCUCCGAGUUGAAAGGAGAGUUAGAGGUCAUCAAUCUUAGCCCUGCUCUGUUGCAUGUGCCAAACCAUGUAGGGUUUCAGGUCCCCAGACUUUUACGGAAUAGGCCAAGUGACUUUUGAAGGGCCACCUGUCUGCUAAACUUUCUUGGUUCUGCUACUCCCGACUCCUUAGAAACUUAGCACUAAAGACACCAGCGCUCUCAAGGCCUUCUUCUCCUGUUGCCCCUUGCUUCAGUCUCUUCAGAUCAUGUGUUCUAGGAGCAAGAACUUCAGGAAGUCAUCAAAAUCACUGAACGACUGGAGAUGGCCAAAGUCAUUGCUUUGUUUGGAACAUUGGCUCUGAUUAAAAGUUUUUGGUUAAGACUCAGCUACUUAUUGUUGGAAACUUGUAUGGCCUGGCCUGGAUGCACUGACCGUAUUGAAUGUGCACUUUUGAUGGAUCCAUCUGUCUCACCAGCUGCACCGUGGAGAGCCUGCCCUACCAGCUACAGAAUACCAAAACCCUAUGGGACAAGGCAUAUCACUGUGUCUUCUUUAUGUAUGAAGAAACUGAAGUUUCCUGAGGAAUAGAACUGACCUUUUCCAUCUGUGAACCCCUGUUUGUGGCCUCACCCUAUGCCCUGUAUGUAACAAAAUUGCUUCUCAAAGUGCAUCCAAAGGGCCACCUGCAUUAGAAUGUCCUGAAAGCCUGUUAAAGAGAAGAUUCCUGGACACUUCCCCAAACUCAAUGGAUCAAGAUCACUGGCAGUGGCCCAGGAUUUUGUGUUUUAACAACCUGCUGAAGUAAGUC